This 240-nucleotide long non-coding RNA is filed under the name Phoenix dactylifera (date palm). RNAcentral describes it as "long non-coding RNA (PDAC_LNC019056)". Lineage: Eukaryota; Viridiplantae; Streptophyta; Magnoliopsida; Arecales; Arecaceae. The record is from RNAcentral.
AAUACUUCUAGUGUGUGUGACCCCAUAGGUUCUAUUCUGACUGGUAGUGAGAUAUAUUAUGAUCUCUAUUAUAAUAUCAUUGAAAACUCCUUUUAAUGGAUUGGAACGAUUCUAACUCUACUCAUUAGGGUUUAUCGAUCAUCGAGAUAAUCCCUGUGAGUCCCACCAUCCACCAGUGACACCUAGCAGCAUGUAGUGGCUACCCAGUAGAAUAGAAUGAUGAACCUCUAGGUGCAGUUA